CCAGUGCUGUUGUUCUCUACUCCAAUCAAAUUACUUGGUCAUAUAAGAAAUACUUGUGAACGUGGUUUUAUUUUUCAUUGAAACUGUUAUUGAGCCAUAUCAAUAGAUUGCACAGUCGCAGCCCUGAUUUCUGUUUGCUCUGUGGUAUUGACAGAUGCACGGAGGAAUAUAGAGUGUACAAUUCCUUCUAUCAUCAUGUGCCCGAGAAACCACCGUCAACACCUACUUGAUUGCACCUGACCAGAUGAACAGCCUUCGGAGGAAAGCCAAGUACCACUGGAACAAGACAACAUUUAACCCGUUCAGCUUCUAGCUAACUCCAGCAUCACUGAUCAGCAACUACGUACACCUGACUCAGAUGAAGGGCAAAGGGGCGUUGACCAACAUAGAGCUGUCACAGUGCAACAAAAAGGCGUGAAUGACAUUGUUGCUGGGGUACAGCAGUAUCAAUCACUAUUGGACAACCUCAGGAAGCAGAUGGAGGCAGUGCUAAAGAAGCAUUCAGGGUGCACAUCAGGUCAACUUGCAUCAAAAAACAAGUUGUUAAUGGUGUAAUUCACCCUAGGAAAUAUAAAUCCAAAAUACAGGCCUAAACUGU
Molecule: long non-coding RNA, 598 nt
Filed under: Oncorhynchus kisutch (coho salmon)
Lineage: Eukaryota; Metazoa; Chordata; Actinopteri; Salmoniformes; Salmonidae
Description: lncRNA (ENSOKIG00005022381.1)
Source: RNAcentral